Long non-coding RNA from Culex quinquefasciatus (southern house mosquito), 357 nucleotides. RefSeq lists it as uncharacterized. The transcript has 2 exons. Lineage: Eukaryota; Metazoa; Arthropoda; Insecta; Diptera; Culicidae. The record is from RefSeq and is a predicted model, not a curated record.
UUUUCCUUUCUUUCUUUCUUUCUUUCUUUCUUUCCAAAACCUGGGAUGAGCAAGGUGUUCUCGCGAUUCUGGGAUCUUCAAAGAUGGCUGAAAUCCAUGGAUUCUCCGCAGUUCAUGCAAUAAUACAAAAAUGCGGUCGUUCGCCUCGAUUAUGACGCAAGCAUCCCAGGCGUAUGUCGGUUGAUUCCCUCGCCGAUGCAUGGCCACGCACUCGGAACCGAUGGGAGCCAGUAAUGAACCUUCAAAGAAGACUCGUCGCAUCGCACUUAAGGAAAAUACCGUGAUUUGUACUGUUUAUUUUGUCAAGUGAAAAGAGUGAUAACCAAAAACGAUGUUGAAUAAAUAUAUAAUAACCGA